This 119-nucleotide small RNA is filed under the name unclassified sequences. RNAcentral describes it as "LOOT RNA". It matches the Rfam family "LOOT RNA". Rfam says of the family: Latescibacteria, OD1/Parcubacteria, OP11, TM7. The record is from Rfam by way of RNAcentral.
CGCCUAACCCUUAUGGAAGUCAUAAGGUAUGGCAUAAAAACACGGUUCAGGUAUAUCAAACUCUCAGUCAGAGCACCUGAACCGUCAUAUCCGAAAGGAUAUGGGUGGCGCAAGCCAUC